AGUCAACAGACUAACAGUGGGCCAACGUUGGCAAAUUGUCGGUCCGUUGGUCGACCGUUGGUGUUGGCUGCACAACAUUGGCCCAACGUUGGCAAAUUGUCGGUCCAUUGGUCGACAGUUGGUGUUGGCUGCACAACAUUGGCCCAACGUUGGCAAAUUUUCGGUCCGUUGGUCGCACUUUGGUGUUGGCUGCACAACAUUGGCCCAAUGUUGGCCUGCUGUUGUAAAUCCAUAUUAUUAUCUCAUGUUGGUUAUGAAUAAUCGGGCCAACGUUGGCAUUACGUUAGUAGCAACAUAGGGCCGAUAUGAAAUUUUGUUAAAAAAAUUGAUUAUGAAAUAUUUUACGCUUUAUUUCUCUUGGGAAGGCGGGUGAUUUCGAUUGCUGCAUGCUUUAUGAAAAGUUAAUGUUAUACCGAAAGGGUUCAUUAACUGAAAUUACAUUUACAACUCUAUGUUGGGCCAAUGCUGGGCCAACGUUGAUCCUAUAUUAUACUCUAUAUAUAACUCAGGUAAAAUUUAUACUGGAAUAUUAUUACUGUAAUAAAAAAAAAAUAUAUCGUUAACAUAGAUUGCCUGGUUAAAAGUUUAAAUUUAUUGCAAUCAUUAUUUAUUAUAACUUUAUUCAUUAAACUUUGUGAAACAUCAUAAUUUAGCAAUUAUAUACAGAGUGAUAUUUGAUACAGCCAGUCUGUUAAUCAAGCACAUUCUGAUAAGGUUGACCAUAUGUUAGACAAAUUUCAAAGAUAGUUGCUAUGGUAAUUAAGUUUAUAGGAAAUCUGAAUGUAAUGGGAUGGUCACUUUUGUGUUUAUUUCCUGUUGUGUAUUUGUAAGAAAGCAGUGAAACGAAGAAAACAAAAAGAGAAAAUCAUAUUAUCUGAGGUUCAAAGAAAAAGAAAGUGACAUGUUAGGUAUUUGAGUACUACAGAAGACAAAAUAAUUCAGAGGGCAAAAAUAUAAUACAGAGCUAGGAAUAAUAGAAAUUAUUGACAACAUCCUGGCUAGAAAAUGCAUGGGAAUGGAGAUGGGAAAAAAUGCAUUCUACCAUUUGAUAGCCCAGAAUGAAUAAGUUUAAGAAAAGGUACAUGUAGUGAAAUAACUUUUAUGAAGAUAUGCUAAACUGGAUAUUAAAAGGAUGUAACAUUAGACGGAGCCAGAAAUAGUGACAAAACAAAGUGUAGCAGAAAACAAAAGGAAAACUCUUGUGAAUAAAAACCAUGUUGGAAUACAGAACUAGAAAAAUAGCUGUAUAAAAUAAAUUAUCAAGGCCGUCAUACAGAGCUUGGAUAUUACAACAUAAACUGAUCGAUAUUAUACAAAUGGGAUAAAUGAAUUAUCAUGAAUAGACUUUAAAAUGUUUAUUCUAUAGAUCUGAUUUAGCAACGUAUAGAUACAAAAAAAGACUUUUUUUUAAUUUGCUGGUUGUCUAGCUAAUAAUAAAUUAUAUUUAAUCAUA
Molecule: long non-coding RNA, 1453 nt
Organism: Mytilus californianus (California mussel)
Lineage: Eukaryota; Metazoa; Mollusca; Bivalvia; Mytilida; Mytilidae
Exons: 3
Source: RefSeq, a predicted model, not a curated record